UGGGGAAUAUUGCACAAUGGGCGCAAGCCUGAUGCAGCCAUGCCGCGUGUAUGAAGAAGGCCUUCGGGUUGUAAAGUACUUUCAGUCGGGAGGAAGGUGGUAAGGUUAAUAACCUUGGCAAUUGACGUUACCGACAGAAGAAGCACCGGCUAACUCCGUGCCAGCAGCCGCGGUAAUACGGAGGGUGCAAGCGUUAAUUGGAAUUACUGGGCGUAAAGCGCACGCAGGCGGUUGAUUGAGUCAGAUGUGAAAUCCCCGGGCUUAACCCGGGAAUUGCAUCUGAUACUGGUCAGCUAGAGUCUUGUAGAGGGGGGUAGAAUUCCAUGUGUAGCGGUGAAAUGCGUAGAGAUGUGGAGGAAUACCGGUGGCGAAGGCGGCCCCCUGGACAAAGACUGACGCUCAGGUGCGAAAGCGUGGGGAGCAAACAGG
RNAcentral lists this ribosomal RNA (429 nucleotides) under Chloroflexota bacterium. Its description in RNAcentral is "Chloroflexi bacterium partial 16S ribosomal RNA". It matches the Rfam family "Bacterial small subunit ribosomal RNA", at positions 355 to 776 of the family's 1533-position model. The record is from RNAcentral. Lineage: Bacteria; Bacillati; Chloroflexota.